AUUGAACGCUGGCGGCAUGCUUUACACAUGCAAGUCGAACGGCAGCGCGGGCUUCGGCCUGGCGGCGAGUGGCGAACGGGUGAGUAAUGCAUCGGAACGUGCCCAGUAGUGGGGGAUAGCCCGGCGAAAGCCGGAUUAAUACCGCAUACGACCUGAGGGUGAAAGCGGGGGACCGAAAGGCCUCGCGCUAUUGGAGCGGCCGAUGUCGGAUUAGCUAGUUGGUGGGGUAAAGGCUUACCAAGGCGACGAUCCGUAGCUGGUCUGAGAGGACGACCAGCCACACUGGGACUGAGACACGGCCCAGACUCCUACGGGAGGCAGCAGUGGGGAAUUUUGGACAAUGGGGGCAACCCUGAUCCAGCCAUGCCGCGUGCGGGAAGAAUGCCUUCGGGUUGUAAACCGCUUUUGUUCGGGAAGAAAUCCUCUGGGCUAAUACCCCGGGGGGAUGACGGUACCGGAAGAAUAAGCACCGGCUAACUACGUG
RNAcentral lists this ribosomal RNA (484 nucleotides) under uncultured bacterium. RNAcentral's name for it is "partial 16S ribosomal RNA". It matches the Rfam family "Bacterial small subunit ribosomal RNA", at positions 28 to 507 of the family's 1533-position model. The record is from RNAcentral.